RNAcentral lists this ribosomal RNA (463 nucleotides) under uncultured bacterium. Its description in RNAcentral is "partial 16S ribosomal RNA". It matches the Rfam family "Bacterial small subunit ribosomal RNA", at positions 28 to 507 of the family's 1533-position model. The record is from RNAcentral.
GAUGAACGCUGACAGAAUGCUUAACACAUGCAAGUCGAUGGGGAAGUGGUGCUUGCACCAUGGCAACCAUGGCGGACGGGUGAGUAACGCGUAAGGGACUUACCUGCAGGACUGGGAUAACAGGGGGAAACUCCUGGCAAGACCGGAUAAUGUCAUGGAGCUGCAUGGCUUUAUGAUGAAAGGAGACGCCUGCGGAGAGCCUUGCGUCCUAUUAGCUAGUUGGUGAGGUAAUGGCUCACCAAGGCGAAGAUAGGUAGCCGGCCUGAGAGGGUGGACGGCCACAAGGGGACUGAGAUACGGCCCUUACUCCUACGGGAGGCAGCAGUGGGGAAUAUUGGACAAUGGGGGCAACCCUGAUCCAGCAAUUCUGUGUGCACGAAGAAGGUUUUCGGAUUGUAAAGUGCUUUCAGCAGGGAAGAAGUAAGUGACGGUACCUGCAGAAGAAGCGACGGCUAAAUACGUG